RNAcentral lists this ribosomal RNA (273 nucleotides) under uncultured bacterium. RNAcentral's name for it is "partial 16S ribosomal RNA". It matches the Rfam family "Bacterial small subunit ribosomal RNA", at positions 523 to 796 of the family's 1533-position model. The record is from RNAcentral.
AGACGGAGGGGGCUAGCGUUGUUCGGAAUUACUGGGCGUAAAGCGCGCGUAGGCGGCCUGGUAAGUCAAAGGUGAAAUCCCUCGGCUCAACCGAGGAACUGCCUUUGAAACUGCCACGGCUAGAGAAUGGGAGGGGGGUAGAAUUUCUGGUGUAGAGGUGAAAUUCGUAGAUAUCGGGAGGAACACCAGCGGCGAAGGCGGCUCUCUGGACGAUGACUGACGCUGAGACGCGAAAGCGUGGGGAGCAAACAGGAUUAGAUACCCCGGUAGUCC